GAGUGUAUAGCUCAGUGGUAAAAUGCAUGCUUAGCAUGCAUGAUGAGGUCCUGGGUUCCAUCCCCAGUACCUCCA
RNAcentral lists this transfer RNA (75 nucleotides) under Camelus bactrianus (Bactrian camel). It matches the Rfam family "tRNA". Rfam says of the family: Transfer RNA (tRNA) molecules are approximately 80 nucleotides in length. Their secondary structure includes four short double-helical elements and three loops (D, anti-codon, and T loops). RNAcentral also lists the same sequence under 3 other names. The record is from Rfam by way of RNAcentral. Lineage: Eukaryota; Metazoa; Chordata; Mammalia; Artiodactyla; Camelidae.